This 19-nucleotide small nuclear RNA is filed under the name Arabidopsis thaliana (thale cress). RNAcentral's name for it is "snRNA_01552". Lineage: Eukaryota; Viridiplantae; Streptophyta; Magnoliopsida; Brassicales; Brassicaceae. The record is from RNAcentral.
AUCAUCAGAGACUUAAAUA